UGGGGAAUUUUGGACAAUGGGGGAAACCCUGAUCCAGCCAUCCCGCGUGUGCGAUGAAGGCCUUCGGGUUGUAAAGCACUUUUGGCAGGAAAGAAACGUCGCGGGUUAAUACCCCGCGAAACUGACGGUACCUGCAGAAUAAGCACCGGCUAACUACGUGCCAGCAGCCGCGGUAAUACGUAGGGUGCAAGCGUUAAUCGGAAUUACUGGGCGUAAAGCGUGCGCAGGCGGUUCGGAAAGAAAGAUGUGAAAUCCCAGAGCUUAACUUUGGAACUGCAUUUUUAACUACCGGGCUAGAGUGUGUCAGAGGGAGGUGGAAUUCCGCGUGUAGCAGUGAAAUGCGUAGAUAUGCGGAGGAACACCGAUGGCGAAGGCAGCCUCCUGGGAUAACACUGACGCUCAUGCACGAAAGCGUGGGGAGCAAACAGGAUUAGAUACCCUGGUAGUCCACGCCCUAAACGAUGUCAACUAGCUGUUGGGGCCUUCGGGCCUUGGUAGCGCAGCUAACGCGUGAAGUUGACCGCCUGGGGAGUACGGUCGCAAGAUUAAAACUCAAAGGAAUUG
This 564-nucleotide ribosomal RNA is filed under the name uncultured bacterium. RNAcentral's name for it is "partial 16S ribosomal RNA". It matches the Rfam family "Bacterial small subunit ribosomal RNA", at positions 355 to 912 of the family's 1533-position model. The record is from RNAcentral.